Molecule: long non-coding RNA, 3161 nt
Filed under: Mus musculus (house mouse)
Lineage: Eukaryota; Metazoa; Chordata; Mammalia; Rodentia; Muridae
Description: long non-coding RNA chr11:11738384-11741545
Source: RNAcentral
AGGAGGAGGCGGCAGAUGGAUCUCUGUGCAUCCAAGGCCUGCCAAGUUUACAUAGCAAGUUCUAAGACAGCCAGAGCUUCAUAGUGUGAUCCUGUCUCAAAAAAUUUUGUUUUUUAAUCUGUGCUAUUUCAUAAAACAGUGGCUUAAAGCUGCAGGUAGACUGUCUGAGAAAAGAGGACAAAGCCAAAAAUCGCACGGUGCUCCCUAGGUCCCAUUGUGGGGUGAGCUGCUUCUGAUGGGAUAGUGUAUAGACAGGGUAUCACAGGGCAAUGAGCUUGCACCUGAAGAUGGCUGCAAAAGAGCAAGCAGCCAGGAACUGUGUCCUGAUUCAGAGCUUCUAUAAGCAAUCUGGGAACAUUAUCCAAGGUACUCUCAGUGACCCCUGAGCUUCCCGCCUCUGUGUGUACAUGAAGAACACCAGGCUUAGCUGUGAGGACCACAGAGCAGGCACAACUAGGCAGUUGUAUUUGCAACACCCUGCAAGUUAUUAGCUGGCCACGUGUUUGUCAUUCGGGAAACUCUGUUGUAAAUGCAGUCACCCAGUGUGACCAUAUUCAGGCAAGUAAACACAUAUGCAUGGGGGUGCACACUUAAGUGUGUGAAUGCAGUGGCAAAACUUACACAUUUCCCAGUGCCUUACAACCACCCAAAAGAAGGCUGCUUGCAAAACUCUGUCUUUUGAAUUAUGAGGGUCAUGUAACUAGCUUUGACUUUAAUUUUCGUAUUUCUGUGCUAAACACCAAAAACUUUACUUUUCACAUUUACAUGCUAAACACUAUGCUUAAUGCAAAGUAUAGACCUUCCUGUGAGCCCAAGAUCCCUUACUGCCAAAACAGUGAUGGUGUCUACCUCAAAGACCCACAGUGCAGCUUAGAGGCUGCCUGUGGAAAGCAGUUUGUGUGCACCUGACAGACCCACUGAGUUGCUGCUGUGAGAGACUGGAUUUUAGCAUAGAUCGGGGGUUUGCUGUUUGCCGUAAUUCCUACCCACUUAGAACACCAUAGAAUGUUUUUUCUAAGUCCAGCCAUUGUAUCUGUAUCAAUUCCACUUUACUAUGCCAGACAGAACUUAGCAACUGGUGCUAUAUUUUGCUUUUAAGCUUUUGGUAGAUUUUUGGUUAAGGAUGAAAAUUAGCAGAUUGACUUGAGUUAUGGUAGACAAAUGAUUAAUUCUUUUGAAAGGGACUCAACAUUUCAUGACCCAGCAUCAUGGUCUUUACAUUAAAUAGUAAAAAUGUAAACUCCAGGCAUGGCAAUGAACACCUGUAAUCCCCACAGUAGCAGAGGGAGCAACAGGCGGCCCACCCCUGAGCUUUCUGGCUAGCCAGUGCAGUUGGAUUGGCAAUGUACAAAUUCAGUGAGAAGCCCUAUCUCAAAAGAUGAUGAUGGGGGCUGGAGAGAUGGAUCAGCGGUUGAGAUCACUGACUGCUCUUCCAGGGGUCCUGAGUUCAACUCCCAACACCAUAAUGGUGGCUCACAGCCAUCUCUAGUGGGAUCUGAUGUCUUCUUCUGGUGUGCCUAAAGACAGCUACAGUUUACUCAUAUACAUUGGAUAGAUAGAUAGAUAGAUAGAUAGAUAGAUAGAUAGAUAGAUAGAUAGAUAUUUUUUAAAAAAAAAGAUUUGAUGGUGAUGAUGGUGAUGGUGAUAAUGUCUAGAGCAAUUAAAGAAACAUCAGACGUUGAUGUCUCCACAUAUGUAUCCACACAACUGCACAUGUACUAUCCACAUACAUAAAGUUUUUCACGGGGAAAAAGGGAAGGUUCUGUGGCCAAACAAAUUUGAGAAACAGUAACUUAAGCAAAGUUUGAUAACUAUGUCUUUUUCCUGAAGUCCAUCAGCCUUUUUUUCCUGCUGAGUCAGUAGUUGAUCCCAGAAGUUUAAUUUAGCCAGCUACUUUGUGUAUACAAUUCUGGCUGACAUUUUGGGAAAGAAGUCAUGUGAGCGUGCACCCGGUGUGCAUGCAUGUACAUAUACACACACAGACACGUGUACAGAGUAUAACAGGUCUUAGGAAUUGGAACUCACUAGGAACGGCCUGCGAAAGACUACAAGCACGGGGCUUGGUGCCAUUUUCAAAGGCAACUACUAAGCAAUACGGAAAUCUGGUAGCUCCUUUUGGAGCAGCAAUUCCCUAUCCAACAGGCAGAUGGGAAAUGUUUUAAUUUUCUCUGGAUACAAUAAAGAAAAGACAAAAAAAAAAAAGCAAAUGAAGAACGUUUGAGGGGCAGACUACCCAUGAGGAAGCACACUGAUUGUGCAGACGUGUGCUUUCCCGUGUGAGACUGUGAUGUGGCCAAGAGCACACUCAGCCAGUACUACUGAAUGGUUGCUAUUGGUUCUAGGAUGUUCUAGGCUGUUGAGGCCGUCGGAGCUUGCUCACAGUUCAGAGGUCCUGCUCUGAGGAGUGACUUUUCUGUAGCUUGUCUGAAGACAACAAUAACAAAUUAGCAGCUAACUGGUGGUUUUACAUAAUAACAUUGCCUUUUGAAAGCAGCACUGUCUUCUGCACUCUUGUGUCCGUGAUGAUUUGACAACCUGGCUUUCUUUUUGCCUUCUCUAUUGCAGUUGCAUAUGGGGCUGAUGGCUUUAGGGAUUUUCAUGCAAUAAUUCCCAAAUCUUUCUCUCGUAAGUAUAUGCUUUGCUUCUAGAAAACAGAUGUUCAUUUCAUGGUCAGUUCCAUCACACAGACACCACCACUUGCAUGUUCUCUCAUCAACACCUUCCUUUAUAACUUGAAAGUGACAUGGACUAAAUGUUUGCCAUUCUAUCAUUAAACACCCAGCAUCCAGUGUGUCAUUGAUACAAUAAAGUGCAAAGACAGAGGGUGAGGGUGUUGUUUGGUUUUUGUUUUGCUUCUGAGGCAGGGUUUCCCUAUUAUUCCUGGCUGGCCUAGACUGCUCUGGGAUGCCCAGACUCAUCUUAAAUUUGCAAUGAUAUUCCUGUCUCUGCCUCUGCCCCUGCCCCUACCCCCUCCCUCUGUCCCUGCCCCCUCCCCUCCCUCUGCCUCUGCCUCACCAAUAAGGAUCAGAUAGUGAGAGGAUUAUAGGGGACUUUUGGGAUAGCAUUUGAAAUGUAAAUGAAGAAAAUACCUAAUAAAAAAUUGGAAAAAAGAAAGAGAGAGAGAAAGAGAGAGAGAGAAAGAAAGAAAGAAAGAAAGAAAG